Molecule: ribosomal RNA, 253 nt
Filed under: uncultured bacterium
Lineage: Bacteria
Description: partial 16S ribosomal RNA
Rfam family: Bacterial small subunit ribosomal RNA
Source: RNAcentral
UACGGGGGGAGCAAGCGUUGUUCGGAUUUACUGGGCGUAAAGGGCGCGUAGGCGGCCCGCUAAGUCGAACGUGAAAUCCCCGAGCUCAACUCGGGAACUGCGUCCGAUACUGGUGGGCUUGAAUCCGGGAGAGGGAUGCGGAAUUCCAGGUGUAGCGGUGAAAUGCGUAGAUAUCAGGAGGAACACCGAUGGCGAAGGCAGGUCUCUGGGCUGACACUGACGCUCAUGCACGAAAGCGUGGGGAGCAAACAGG